RNAcentral lists this ribosomal RNA (345 nucleotides) under uncultured bacterium. RNAcentral describes it as "bacterial SSU rRNA". It matches the Rfam family "Bacterial small subunit ribosomal RNA", at positions 8 to 334 of the family's 1533-position model. The record is from RNAcentral.
AGAGUUUGAUCAUGGCUCAGGACGAACGCUGGCGGCGUGCCUAACACAUGCAAGUCGAGCGAGAAUUUUGCAUCGGAAUCCUUCGGGAGGAAGAAGCAAAAGGAAAGCGGCGGACGGGUGAGUAACGCGUGAGUAACCUGCCUUCAGGAGGGGGACAACAUUUCGAAAGGGAUGCUAAUACCGCAUGACAUUGUUCUUCCGCAUGGAAGGACAAUCAAAGAUUUAUCGCCUGAAGAUGGACUCGCGUCUGAUUAGUUAGUUGGUGGGGUAACGGCCUACCAAGACGACGAUCAGUAGCCGAACUGAGAGGUUGAUCGGCCACAUUGGGACUGAGACACGGCCCAG